Molecule: non-coding RNA, 858 nt
Filed under: Deracantha onos
Lineage: Eukaryota; Metazoa; Arthropoda; Insecta; Orthoptera; Tettigoniidae
Source: RNAcentral
UUUAAUUUUUUUAAAAAUUUUGAUUUUAGUAGUCUUAAGUGUUUAAUGUUGGUCCACUCUUCAUUGAUGAUGAUAGUAAAGUUUUAUUCUUGCUUAAGUAUUUACUUGUUGUAUGGUUUACAUGUAAAUUUUUGUGAUACUAAGAUAUUUCAAUAAGAGGUAGUGUUGCAGUAUUUGAUUUUAUGGUUCAAGGUGACUUGGAAAUAGUAAUGCAAUGUGUGAUCGGCUAAAGUCGUGCCAGCUGCCGCGGUUAUACGUAGGAUCAAAGUUAAUAUUGUUAGUGAAUAAAGUUAGUGAUGGAAUUUUAUAAAUUUUGAUAUGAUUUGAGAAGGUAGAAUUUUAAAAUUAUUGAACAUUUUUGUAGAUAGCAUGAAGCUUUGAAAUUUAAAUUAUAAAAUAGGAUUAGAUACCCUAUCAUUUUAAAUGUUAAAUGGUUUACUUGAGUAUUAGUAGUUAAGUUCUUGAAACUCAAAGAAUUUGGCGGUGUUUUAGUCUUUUCAGAGGAAUCUGUCCUAUAAUCGAUAGUACACGUUAUAUUCGACUUAAUUUUGUAAUCAGUUUGUAUACCACCGUCGUAAGAUUAUUUUUGGAGAGAGAUAAUUUUCUUUAAUUUGAAGUGAAUAAUAUGCCAGGUCAACGUGCAGCUUAUGAUUAAGUAGGAGAUGGAUUACAAUAAAAAAAAUUAAAUGGAUUUUGCAUUGAAAGAAGGUGUGAUUGAAGGUGGAUUUGGAAGUAAUGUUGUUAUAUUAUGAUAAUAUGACUUAAGCUCUAAAACAUGCACACAUCGCCCGUCGCUCUCAUUAUUAAGGUGAGAUAAGUCGUAACAUAGUAGAUGUACUGGAAAGUGUAUCUAGAAUG